This 435-nucleotide ribosomal RNA is filed under the name Macaca thibetana (Pere David's macaque). Its description in RNAcentral is "partial 12S ribosomal RNA". It matches the Rfam family "Bacterial small subunit ribosomal RNA", at positions 508 to 1191 of the family's 1533-position model. Lineage: Eukaryota; Metazoa; Chordata; Mammalia; Primates; Cercopithecidae. The record is from RNAcentral.
CCAGCUACCGCGGUCACACGAUUAGCCCUAGUUAAUAGAGAUCGGCGUAGAGGGUGUUUAAGAUCUAACACAAUAAAGCUAAACUUCAUCUAAACUGUAAAACCCUAGCUAAUGUAAAAUAAACUACGAAAGUGGCCUUAAAACUUCUGAACACACAAUAGCCAAGGCCCAAACUGGGAUUAGACACCCUACUAUGCUUGGCCCUAAACCUCAGUAGUUAAAUAACAAAACUACUCGCCAGAAUACUACAAGCAACAGCUUAAAACUCAAAGGACUUGACGGUGCUUUACACCCCCUAGAGGAGCCUGUUCCGUAAUCGAUAAACCCCGAUCCACCCCACCCUCUCUUGCUCAGCCUAUAUACCGCCAUCUUCAGCAAACCCUGAUAAAGGCCACAAAGUGAGCGCAAACGCCACCACCGCGAAGACGUUAGGUC